CCUACGGGAGGCUGCAGUGGGGAAUAUUGGACAAUGGGGGGAACCCUGAUCCAGCCAUGCCGCGUGGGUGAAGAAGGCCCUCGGGUUGUAAAGCACUUUCAGUGAGGAAGAACGCCUGGUGGUUAAUACCCAUCAGGAAAGACAUCACUCACAGAAGAAGCACCGGCUAACUCCGUGCCAGCAGCCGCGGUAAUACGGAGGGUGCGAGCGUUAAUCGGAAUUACUGGGCGUAAAGCGCGCGUAGGUGGCUUGAUAAGCCGGUUGUGAAAGCCCCGGGCUCAACCUGGGAACGGCAUCCGGAACUGUCAAGCUAGAGUGCAGGAGAGGAAGGUAGAAUUCCCGGUGUAGCGGUGAAAUGCGUAGAGAUCGGGAGGAAUACCAGUGGCGAAGGCGGCCUUCUGGACUGACACUGACACUGAGGUGCGAAAGCGUGGGUAGCAAACAGGAUUAGAUACCCUGGUAGUC
This 465-nucleotide ribosomal RNA is filed under the name Vreelandella stevensii. RNAcentral describes it as "partial 16S ribosomal RNA". It matches the Rfam family "Bacterial small subunit ribosomal RNA", at positions 338 to 795 of the family's 1533-position model. Lineage: Bacteria; Pseudomonadati; Pseudomonadota; Gammaproteobacteria; Oceanospirillales; Halomonadaceae. The record is from RNAcentral.